CAUGCAAGUCGAGCGGUAACAGAGAGGUGCUUGCACCUUUGCUGACGAGCGGCGGACGGGUGAGUAAUGCUUGGGAACAUGCCUUGAGGUGGGGGACAACAGUUGGAAACGACUGCUAAUACCGCAUAAUGUCUACGGACCAAAGGGGGCUUCGGCUCUCGCCUUUAGAUUGGCCCAAGUGGGAUUAGCUAGUUGGUGAGGUAAUGGCUCACCAAGGCGACGAUCCCUAGCUGGUUUGAGAGGAUGAUCAGCCACACUGGGACUGAGACACGGCCCAGACUCCUACGGGAGGCAGCAGUGGGGAAUAUUGCACAAUGGGCGCAAGCCUGAUGCAGCCAUGCCGCGUGUGUGAAGAAGGCCUUCGGGUUGUAAAGCGCUUUCAGUCAGGAGGAAAGGUUAGUAGUUAAUACCUGCUAGCUGUGACGUUACUGACAGAAGAAGCACCGGCUAACUCCGUGCCAGCAGCCGCGGUAAUACGGAGGGUGCGAGCGUUAAUCGGAAUUACUGGGCGUAAAGCGUACGCAGGCGGUUUGUUAAGCGAGAUGUGAAAGCCCCGGGCUCAACCUGGGAACUGCAUUUCGAACUGGCAAACUAGAGUGUGAUAGAGGGUGGUAGAAUUUCAGGUGUAGCGGUGAAAUGCGUAGAGAUCUGAAGGAAUACCGAUGGCGAAGGCAGCCACCUGGGUCAACACUGACGCUCAUGUACGAAAGCGUGGGGAGCAAACAGGAUUAGAUACCCUGGUAGUCCACGCCGUAAACGAUGUCUACUAGAAGCUCGGAACCUCGGUUCUGUUUUUCAAAGCUAACGCAUUAAGUAGACCGCCUGGGGAGUACGGCCGCAAGGUUAAAACUCAAAUGAAUUGACGGGGGCCCGCACAAGCGGUGGAGCAUGUGUUUAAUUCGAUGCAACGCGAAGAACCUUACCUACACUUGACAUACAGAGAACUUACCAGAGAUGGUUUGGUGCCUUCGGGAACUCUGAUACAGGUGCUGCAUGCUGUCGUCAGCUCGUGUUGUGAGAUGUUGGGUUAGUCCCGCAACGAGCGCAACCCCUAUCUUAGUUGCUAGCAGGUAAUGCUGAAAACUCUAAGGGAGACUGCCGGUGAUAAACCCGAAGAAGGUUG
This 1123-nucleotide ribosomal RNA is filed under the name uncultured Pseudoalteromonas sp. RNAcentral's name for it is "bacterial SSU rRNA". It matches the Rfam family "Bacterial small subunit ribosomal RNA", at positions 54 to 1176 of the family's 1533-position model. Lineage: Bacteria; Pseudomonadati; Pseudomonadota; Gammaproteobacteria; Alteromonadales; Pseudoalteromonadaceae. The record is from RNAcentral.